GGGGAUGUGGCUCAGUGGCAGAGAACUUGCCUGGCAUGUGUGAGGCCCUGGGUUCAAUUCCCAGCACCACCA
Molecule: transfer RNA, 72 nt
Filed under: Ictidomys tridecemlineatus (thirteen-lined ground squirrel)
Lineage: Eukaryota; Metazoa; Chordata; Mammalia; Rodentia; Sciuridae
Also listed under: 1 other name
Description: Spermophilus tridecemlineatus (thirteen-lined ground squirrel) tRNA
Rfam family: tRNA
About the family: Transfer RNA (tRNA) molecules are approximately 80 nucleotides in length. Their secondary structure includes four short double-helical elements and three loops (D, anti-codon, and T loops).
Source: Rfam by way of RNAcentral